UAAUUUGAAGCAAUAUAUUGCAAUUAGUUUCGACCUAAUUAUUAGAUAAUAUUUUACUUAU
RNAcentral lists this transfer RNA (61 nucleotides) under Allacta hainanensis. RNAcentral's name for it is "tRNA-Arg". Lineage: Eukaryota; Metazoa; Arthropoda; Insecta; Blattodea; Pseudophyllodromiidae. The record is from RNAcentral.